UACGGGGGGGGCAAGCGUUGUUCGGAAUUACUGGGCGUAAAGGGCUCGUAGGCGGCCAACUAAGUCAGACGUGAAAUCCCCAGGCUCAACUUGGGAACUGCGUCUGAUACUGGAUGGCUUGAAUUCGGGAGAGGGAUGCAGAAUUCCUGGUGUAGCGGUGAAAUGCGCAGAUAUCAGGAAGAACACCCGUGGCGAAGGCGGCUCUCUGGGACGGUACUGACGCUGAGACGCGAAAGCGUGGGGAGCGAACAGG
This 253-nucleotide ribosomal RNA is filed under the name uncultured bacterium. Its description in RNAcentral is "partial 16S ribosomal RNA". It matches the Rfam family "Bacterial small subunit ribosomal RNA", at positions 524 to 776 of the family's 1533-position model. The record is from RNAcentral.